Molecule: small nucleolar RNA, 76 nt
Filed under: Mola mola (ocean sunfish)
Lineage: Eukaryota; Metazoa; Chordata; Actinopteri; Tetraodontiformes; Molidae
Source: RNAcentral
AUGCAGUGAUGACUAGAAUUUCUUCACCUGAAACAUCAACCAUGAUGUUUUAUUGAGCUUUUUAACCCUGAGCAUU